GAUGAACGCUGGCGGCGUGCCUAAUACAUGCAAGUCGAGCGAACAGACGAGAGUGCUUGCACUCUCUGACGUUAGCGGCGGACGGGUGAGUAACACGUGGGUAACCUACCUAUAAGACUGGGAUAACUUCGGGAAACCGGAGCUAAUACCGGAUAAUAUUUAGCUUCGCAUGACGCAAUAGUGAAAGACGGUUCUGCUGUCACUUAUAGAUGGACCCGCGGUGUAUUAGCUAGUUGGUGAGGUAACGGCUCACCAAGGCAACGAUACAUAGCCGACCUGAGAGGGUGAUCGGCCACACUGGGACUGAGACACGGCCCAGACUCCUACGGGAGGCAGCAGUAGGGAAUCUUCCGCAAUGGACGAAAGUCUGACGGAGCAAUGCCGCGUGAGUGAAGAAGGUUUUCGGAUCGUAAAGCUCUGUUGUAAGGGAAGAACAAGUACGUUAGUAACUGAACGUACCUUGACGGUACCUUACCAGAAAGCCACGGCUAACUACGUG
Molecule: ribosomal RNA, 499 nt
Filed under: uncultured bacterium
Lineage: Bacteria
Description: partial 16S ribosomal RNA
Rfam family: Bacterial small subunit ribosomal RNA
Source: RNAcentral